CACAGACCGUAAUACAGCGCAGAUGAACAUGAUUCAGACUACGGCGUUUAUAUGUUCAACAAUAGCAAACGUAGUCUUAGCUGUUUUAAAAUUACACCAAGUUUAUUUCGGAUUAUUCCAACGGAAGAAUACAAGGCGCAGGGAAGUUUGAGGAAUGUUGAAGGGCUGCAGCUCGCAUGCUGCAGCGUGGCGGUUCAUUGAGUUUCUGAUUGACAGCGUGGGAGAGAAGAUGUCGUCUGUCGCCCAGCAGCAGAGAGAACGAACAGACAUUCGUAACUCUGGAGUUGCACUUGACUGCGUCAUUAGAGACGCUCACACGUCCCGAUGAACUUGGGGUUUGAAUUUGCUUUAUUUGUAGAGAAUUUAACUUGUUUGUGCUUUGAGUUGCCUGACAUCAUUUUUUAGAAGCAUUAAUCAAAAUGUUCCAUAUCGGAAACAUGUUCAUUGACUAAAUAUUCUCUUCUUCUUCCGCCUGAUGUCUGAUUACAGGAGGAAGUGAGUCAACAAUUGAAAUCAGGCUUAAAAUGUCGACUGAAACCUUUGUGUGUCAUUUAAUACACAAACGCUCAUUAACUCAAGAUCAUUGUUGUUUCACUUCAUUCAAGUAAACAAGUAAUAAAGAACAUGUGAUUCUCUUUGGUCUGAAGAAAACAAGACGGAUUCAUUUGGUUUUAUUUUUAUUAAAAGUAUUUUCAUUGUUAAAAUAAUAAACAGACGACAUAUUUAACAAUAAUAAUAACACAAUCAUUGGGAAAAUAUCUGAAGCAGUUCCUGAAAAGAGAGAAAAGAAAAGUUAUUAACAUGUUAAUGUUGUUAGUGUGUCUGUGUGUACAUCUAAAUGUUAGUGUGUCUGUGUGUACAUCUAAAUGUUAGUGUGUCUGUGUACGUCUAAAUGUUAGUGUGUCUGUGUGUACAUCUAAAUGUUAGUGUGUCUGUGUGUACAUCUAAAUGUUAGUGUGUCUGUGUGUACAUCUAAAUGUUAGUGUGUCUGUGUACGUCUAAAUGUUAGUGUGUCUGUGUGUACAUCUAAAUAUUAAUGUCUUUGUGUACAUCUAAAUAUUAGUGUGUGUCUUUGUUUAGUACCAAAUGUUAGUGUGUGUCUUUGUGUACAUCUAAGUGUUAGUGUGUGUCUUUGUUUAGAACCAAAUGUUAGUGUGUCUGUGUGAACAUCUAAUUGUUAGUGUGUCCCGAUGACGUAGCGUGCUGAUGGCGUCUUGUUGGUCUGCAGACAAGGAGAAGAGACGUGAGGAGGAUCAUCAGGAUGUGUCCGUGUGUACAUCUAAUUGUUAGUGGGUCUGUGUGUACAUUAAAAUAUUAAAGUGUCUUUGUGCAGAACCAGAUGUUUGUGUGUUUUAGUUUACUUCUGAAUACUAAUGUGUCUUUGUGUACAUCUAAAUAUUAGUGUGUGUCUUUGUUUAGAACCAAAUGAUAGUGUGUCUGUGUGUACAUCUAAUUGUUAGGCGUCCUGAUGGCGUCCCGAUGACGUGGCGUCCUGAUGGCGUCCUGAUGGCGUCCCGAUGACGUGGCGUCCUGAUGGCGUCCCGAUGACGUGGCAUCCUGAUGGCGUCCUGAUGACGUAGCGUCCCGAUGACGUGGCGUCCUGAUGGCGUCCCGAUGACGUGGCGUCCUGAUGGCGUCCCGAUGACGUGGCAUCCUGAUGGCGUCCUGAUGACGUAGCGUCCCGAUGACGUGGCGUCCUGAUGGUGUCCUGAUGACGUAGCGUCCCGAUGACGUGGCGUCCUGAUGGCGUCCCGAUGACGUCCUGUUGGUCUGCAGACAAGGAGAAGAGACGUGAGGAGGAUCAUCAGGAUGUGUCUGCGUCCUGAUGGCGUCCCGAUGACGUGGCGUCCUGAUGGCGUCCUGUUGGUCUGCAGACAAGGAGAAGAGACGUGAGGAGGAUCAUCAGGAUGUGUCUAUCUAAAUAUUAAUGUGUCUGUGUGUACAUCUAAAUAUUAAUGUGUCUUUGUGUACAUCUAAAUGUUAGUGUGUGUCUUUGUUUAGAACCAAAUGUUAGUGUGUCUGUGUGUACAUCUAAUUGUUAGUGUGUCUGUGUGUGGAUCUAAUUGUUAGUGUGUCUGUGCGUACAUCUAAUUGUUAUUGUCUUUGUGUACAUCUAAAUAUUAGUGUGUGUCUUUGUUUAGAACUAAAUGUUAGUGUGUCUGUGUGUACAUCUAAUUGUUAGUGUGUCUGUGUGUAGAUCUAACUGUUAGUGUGUCUGUGUGUACAUCUGAUUAUUAUUGUGUCUUUGUGUACAUCUAAAUAUUAGUGUGUGUCUUUGUUUAG
This is a long non-coding RNA of Gasterosteus aculeatus aculeatus (three-spined stickleback), 2283 nucleotides long. NCBI's taxonomy places the organism in Eukaryota, Metazoa, Chordata, Actinopteri, Perciformes, Gasterosteidae. The record is from Ensembl.